CGGACGGGUGAGUAACGCGUGAGAAUCUGGCUUCAGGUCUGGGACAACCACUGGAAACGGUGGCUAAUACCGGAUGUGCCGAGAGGUGAAAGGUUAACUGCCUGAAGAUGAGCUCGCGUCUGAUUAGCUAGUUGGAAGUGUAAUGGACUCCCAAGGCGACGAUCAGUAGCUGGUCUGAGAGGACGAUCAGCCACACUGGGACUGAGACACGGCCCAGACUCCUACGGGAGGCAGCAGUGGGGAAUUUUCCGCAAUGGGCGAAAGCCUGACGGAGCAAUACCGCGUGAGGGAGGAAGGCUCUUGGGUCGCAAACCUCUUUUCUCAGGGAAGAACACAAUGACGGUACCUGAGGAAUAAGCAUCGGCUAACUCCGUGCCAGCAGCCGCGGUAAUACGGAGGAUGCAAGCGUUAUCCGGAAUGAUUGGGCGUAAAGCGUCCGCAGGUGGCAAUGUAAGUCUGCUGUUAAAGAGUCUAGCUCAACUAGAUAAGAGCAGUGGAAACUACAUAGCUAGAGUACGUUCGGGGCAGAGGGAAUUCCUGGUGUAGCGGUGAAAUGCGUAGAGAUCAGGAAGAACACCAGUGGCGAAGGCGCUCUGCUAGGCCGUAACUGACACUGAGGGACGAAAGCUAGGGGAGCGAAUGGGAUUAGAUACCCCAGUAGUC
RNAcentral lists this ribosomal RNA (663 nucleotides) under uncultured cyanobacterium. RNAcentral describes it as "bacterial SSU rRNA". It matches the Rfam family "Bacterial small subunit ribosomal RNA", at positions 99 to 795 of the family's 1533-position model. The record is from RNAcentral. Lineage: Bacteria; Bacillati; Cyanobacteriota.